RNAcentral lists this long non-coding RNA (511 nucleotides) under Rattus norvegicus (Norway rat). RNAcentral describes it as "long non-coding RNA NONRATT018345". The record is from RNAcentral. Lineage: Eukaryota; Metazoa; Chordata; Mammalia; Rodentia; Muridae.
UUUUCUGUGGCGUCCUGGUGUUGGGCAUCUGUUCUCAGCGUAAGCUAAGCAUGGGGCCAGCGAGGCUCCUGGUGAGUCUAGUGGACCAGGCGUGGGCACACGCAGAGCGCCGCCGCUCCUCAGGCAGAUAUUGCAGCUGGGUUCGGAGCUACUGACUUGCCUACAUCACACUAUGCGGCAGUAACAUGUUCCCGGCGUUGGAAACAGAGCUAAAGCAGGAGCUCAGAAAAGCAGCUUACCAAGUUCAGCCACCCAUCAGCGUGUUUGGAGGAGCAGCCCUCGGUAUAUGUUAAAUGGCUCUUUUGGAGAAAGAGAUGAUUUCAUCUCGGACAGCUUGGAAAAAGAGAUGUUUCUAUGAGACUCACUUAUGCUGAGCUCACCACUCCUUAGGAGCAGGCAGCUUCUUUACGAUGAGCUGGAUACGGUAAACCCACGCCUUCGAGAACCCCGAGAGCUCUUCUCAUGCUUCUCUAACAAAGGGCCGCUGCAGGCUCCAAGAUGGCCGAUAGAA